GCUCAUUCCUCUACCUGCCCUUCCACACCUCGGACCCAAGCUAGGGGGAAGGCCUGUACUUUCCUUCUCUCCACAUGCUGUUGUCUACACUGUGUUAUAUUUGUUCAAUGGCAACUUGGCAGAUACGAUCCAGCUGCAAUGCCCCACUCUCCAUGUGGAUGCCGUAGCUCAAAGCAGACCCUUAUGACCAUUUACGCAGGAAGGAGGCGACUAGAAGAGCUCAUCCUUCCCCACAUCAUGUCUGACACUCACCGAAUGAUCCCCAGUGGAUUAUGAAGUUGUUGGCUCUGUGUUACGUUCCGUCAGGAGCAAAGGACAGGCUCCUUCUCCAUUUGAGUGCAAGUGAACGGAAGGAGAGAUUCAGUGCCACGGCCGGCGAGGAAGAAGAUGAAUCCUUGGACACGCGUGAGGUCAAGUUUAGGAAGAGUCAUUGUCAAGUGAUACAUAGAAGUCAGUUUGGAGAGCUCUGCGUGUUUCCAAGCCAAAUGUAUGGGGUGCUCAUUCUCCAACGUCAUGUAAUGGAAACCAAGCCAAAGAUGUAGAAGGAGAAGCUCCAUGUUUGAUGGCUGCUUCUGCUCCUGAUUCAAUGUGACAACGGCAAAGAGAGUCGGAGACGCCCAUCAUUAUGCAUCGUGGUGUGUUGCCAACAGAAGGCAGCGGGAUGAGACGCAGGGAGAUAUUCCAUCUCGAUGAACUAGGACAUGCACAAAACUUGAGGAAUCUGUAUAUCAAGGCACAGACAGGAAACAGAGACACGAUGCAAAGUUCUCUUUUCAGAAGUAGAGACAAACCUAGAGAAAUAGGAAUUGCUCUUGAGUCGGUCGAGCCAAUAUAAGAAUGGCACGACUAUAGGACUAAUAACACUAGCAACACUUUUAAGGCAUUGUAAGGUUGUAAGGCAGAGUGCUCUUAGUUCAUUGGCUUCGUGCCCUACCAGAAUCAACAACAUAGAAACAACUGUGUAUAUAUGAUACAUACUUAGUACCUGGAAGAUAAUUACAGAGGCAGGACUGGCAAUAGAUGGAGGAUGGAUGUGGGAAAGGCUUCUUGAAGAAGGCAGACUUUUAACUGAAUUUUUAAGGAAACCAGAAAGCCUUUAGUCAUUUUUGCAGACAGAGAAAAAGAAACACAGAAUUAAUUUGGAUAUAUAAAGCAGUAAAAACAAAUCGAGGUAAGUCUUUUCUUUCAAAGGGGGAAGGAAGAGGGUCUAUCAGUGGCAGAUCUGAAACUGGACUACAGAGUACUAAUGAUUAAAACAGUUGGGGGAGAGAGAGAGAGAGAGAGAGAGAGAGAGAGAGAGAGAGAGAGAGAGAGAGAGAGAGAGAGAGAGAGAGACAGAGAGAGAGAGAGAGAGAGAGAGAGAGAGAGAGAGAGAGAGAGAGAGAGAGAGAGAGAGAGAGAGAAGGAGGGAGAGAGAGACAGAGAGAGAGAGAGAGACAGAGACAGAGACAGAGACAGAGAGACAGAGACAACGAAUUUAGUAUUUGAUAAGCCCCAAUCCCCCAGCUCCUGAGACACUAACCUUCCCCCUUUCUCUUCCAGAGUAGAUACGGUAUGAGAUGGCUGUCCAUGCCCAAGUUCCCUGCCAUCAUAAUUAUAUAAAUCCAAGCCAAACAAGUCUGAGAUUUCAUAUCAGCAUUUAGAUGGACAAAGAUUCAGAGAAAAGAAUGGGAUAUAUAUUGAAAGGACAGAAGGACAACAGGAACCCGACGGUUUUUGGAGAUGUUAAUUGUUCCAACCAUUAUUCUGCUCAUUAAGUUACUAAAAUGCAAAAAUCCUUCACCCAACAUCACUAGGAGGCCCAUAUCUCAAAGAAACAAAGAAAGGGGGAAAAGACCCACAUAAAAAUACUUGUAAUAGCUCCUUUGGGGAGGCAAGAAACUUGAAACUAAGCUAAUUGCCAUUAGCUGUGGAAUAGCUAAGCAUAUGUUAUACAAAUGUAACAUAAAUGCUUUCAGCCUAAGAACUAAUAAAAUGGAUGAUUUCAGAG
RNAcentral lists this long non-coding RNA (1990 nucleotides) under Monodelphis domestica (gray short-tailed opossum). RNAcentral describes it as "lncRNA (ENSMODG00000039754.1)". The record is from RNAcentral. Lineage: Eukaryota; Metazoa; Chordata; Mammalia; Didelphimorphia; Didelphidae.